This 290-nucleotide unclassified non-coding RNA is filed under the name Hevea brasiliensis (rubber tree). Lineage: Eukaryota; Viridiplantae; Streptophyta; Magnoliopsida; Malpighiales; Euphorbiaceae. The record is from RNAcentral.
AACGUCUUGGCAUCGGAUCACGGCGCGCAUCGCUGCAUAAGGCGAAGUGGUGACGAACUCCGCCGCAAAGGGCGGAGUGGUGACGGCAUGAUGGCCGCCGUUUCGUCCGCGAAAACCGGCCGGGUCCGCCGGUGGGAUACCAUAGCAGUUAGGAAUUCGUUCCGAUUGACUCUUGGCAUAAUGUAUACCAAUCUCAGCCCAUCAGAGAGGACAUGGCUGUCCUCCAGCAUGAACCGUCCACGGGGAAGGUCAUCCCCACCAGCGAGGAGGUUGUGAUGAGAGUCGGAGAC